This 863-nucleotide ribosomal RNA is filed under the name uncultured Staphylococcus sp. RNAcentral's name for it is "bacterial SSU rRNA". It matches the Rfam family "Bacterial small subunit ribosomal RNA", at positions 48 to 894 of the family's 1533-position model. The record is from RNAcentral. Lineage: Bacteria; Bacillati; Bacillota; Bacilli; Caryophanales; Staphylococcaceae.
UUAAAACACAAUUCGGACCGACCGGCCGAGAGAACCUUGCUUCUCGGAAGUUACCGCCCGGACCGGGUGAAUAACACUGGGUUACCCUCCUAUAGACUGGGAUAACUUCGGGGAACCGGAGCUAAUACCGGAUAAUAUUUGAACCGCAUGGUUCAAAAGUGAAAGACGGUCUUGCUGUCACUUAUGGAUGGAUCCGCGCUGCAUUAGCUAUUGGUAAGGUAACGGCUUACCAAGGCAACGAUGCAUACCGACCUGAGAGGGUGAUCGGCCACACUGGAACUGAGACACGGUCCAGACUCCUACGGGAGGCAGCAGUAGGGAAUCUUCCGCAAUGGGCGAAAGCCUGACGGAGCAACGCCGCGUGAGUGAUGAAGGUCUUCGGAUCGUAAAACUCUGUUAUUAGGGAAGAACAUAUGUGUAAGUAACUGUGCACAUCUUGACGGUACCUAAUCAGAAAGCCACGGCUAACUACGUGCCAGCAGCCGCGGUAAUACGUAGGUGGCAAGCGUUAUCCGGAAUUAUUGGGCGUAAAGCGCGCGUAGGCGGUUUUUUAAGUCUGAUGUGAAAGCCCACGGCUCAACCGUGGAGGGUCAUUGGAAACUGGAAAACUUGAGUGCAGAAGAGGAAAGUGGAAUUCCAUGUGUAGCGGUGAAAUGCGCAGAGAUAUGGAGGAACACCAGUGGCGAAGGCGACUUUCUGGUCUGUAACUGACGCUGAUGUGCGAAAGCGUGGGGAUCAAACAGGAUUAGAUACCCUGGUAGUCCACGCCGUAAACGAUGAGUGCUAAGUGUUAGGGGGUUUCCGCCCCUUAGUGCUGCAGCUAACGCAUUAAGCACUCCGCCUGGGGAGUACGACCGCAAGUG